UCGAUCUCGGCCCGGUUCUCGAGAUCCCUUUGGCGUCCGCGGCGGCGCAACUCUGGUGUCAGUGCGUCCGAGGGCGAGGAGAGAGUCGUCUCGAGUCGCCUGGGAGAUCGCGGGCCAUGCUCCCGCCGGCGGCGAGCGGUCCCGGGCGCGAUCGAUUGCGCGUGUCACGCGACGCGCGGCAUCCGGCGGCGCGACGGGGAAGCCAGGGGAGGCCGCGGUGUCUGUGUCCGAAAAAUGGCUGCCCCACGGGCGCUCCGUGAGGGCCGACCGAGUGCGUCGUGAGGACCGCGCGAGUGCCCGCCGAGUAGCCGAGACCGCACCGGGAAUGGCGGAUCCAGUCGCGUAGCCGGUCAUCGGUGCUCCGCCGGGAGCAGGUCGCGACUCGCUCGCGCGCGGGUGCUCCGUGCCCGAGGGGACGAGGGAGCGAGCGAGAGGGAGCGCGGCGGGGUGGGCGAGUGAGAGAGAGAGGUCCCGAGAGAAAGGCUCAGCCGAGCCGGACGGGGACAGCGGCGGAAAGGUGAGGCGGCGCGAGCUGGCCCGGAGCCGUCAGCACCUAGCAGACGAUAUUACACCCGACUCUACCUGGGGAACCGAUACCGAGGCAUGUAGGCGACGGGAACACGGACCGGAAUAACAACAACACCAUGACGAGCGAGGACCUGCUGCAACCUGGACACGUCGUUAAAGAGCGCUGGAAAGUGAUGAGAAAAAUCGGCGGGGGUGGAUUCGGAGAGAUCUACGAGGGCCUAGAUUUAAUGACGAAAGAACAAGUUGCUCUGAAGGUGGAAUCUGCCCGUCAACCGAAACAAGUCCUCAAGAUGGAAGUGGCCGUGCUUAAAAAACUUCAGGGUAAAGAACACGUUUGCAGAUUCAUAGGCUGCGGACGUAACGACAGAUUCAAUUACGUCGUGAUGCAGCUGCAGGGGAAAAAUCUGGCGGAACUGCGCCGCGCGCAGCCAAGAGGUGCCUUCUCGCUGUCGACCACUCUGCGACUCGGUCUUCAAAUCUUGAAAGCAAUAGAGAGUAUACACCAAGCGGGCUUCCUUCAUAGAGACAUUAAGCCGUCAAAUUUUUCAAUCGGGCGUUAUCCAUACAACACCAGGAUGGUAUACAUGUUGGACUUCGGUUUGGCUCGUCAAUUUACAAUGGCCACCGGUGAAGUGAGGCCCCCUCGAACAGCGGCAGGAUUUAGAGGAACCGUCCGUUACGCCUCGGUCAAUGCUCACAAGAACAAGGAGAUGGGAAGACACGACGACUUGUGGUCCCUGUUUUAUAUGUUGGCAGAAUUCGUCAACGGGCAGCUUCCAUGGCGUAAGAUAAAAGAUAAGGAGAGGGUUGGAUUAAUGAAGGAGAAAUGCGACCACCACGCGUUACUUAAACACCUUCCGUCUGACCUCAAAUUGUUCCUGGAACAUAUUCAGAGUUUGGGAUAUGCCGACAGGCCUGAUUAUACCAUGCUAGCCGGUCUGUUGGAGAAGUGUAUGGCACGCAGAGGUGUGAAGGCGAGCGAUCCUUACGACUGGGAAAGGCCUUUGAUUGCGAACGAAGGACUUCCGACGACCAGGUCGUUACCCACCGUCACCGCACCUCCAGCACUCACGACAGCUACUACGAUCAAUCAUCCGCCAACGACACCCAAUUUGGAUACAAACAAUCAAGAAAACGUCGAACCUGACAACAGAAAAGAGUUAGAAGCACAAUUUGAUUUAGAAAGUAUAUGCGCGAGAAACCGUCAGAGGAGGAUAGAGGGCUCCCCUGUUCCGUUCGCCUCGGCGAUCAGUAACCACGGCCGGGACAAGAAUUGCAAUGCAACGAUUCCAAUUACGGAUAACACGCACCAACAGAGCGGCCAACAAGUCGCAGCGACACCGCUUGUACAAGGUUCGCCAAAGAAAAGGCGUGCAGUAUCGAUGGCCGUGGAGCCGCAGUCACCGGCUACGCCGGCGGAGAAACAAGUCGAUAAUGAAGGGGACGCACUCAUGGCGUCUGCUCGAUCUGCGUCCGAAGUUCCUCGAGUUAAGUCGGUUGCCAAUGCUGCGGCGCCUCUUCGCAAGUCCGCGAGCGGCGCCACUUUCGCUCGCCUGCGAGUGAUGGCAGCACCGGAAGCUGCUUCCGGCGAACCGCCGAGUCCACGGAUACAGACGGAAGCGGAUGCUUCCUAUUGUUCGUACGACGUAACGAACACUAAACAUGUAGGAAACCAAAGUCCGGUAACGGAACAAAGGCAAGCAUUGAAAAGGGACCUCAGAAGACGCACUGAGACGCGGCAGCAAGGAAGAGGUCAUGCGGCGUUGCGGGAUUGUUCCAUCACACAGUUUGCACAAAUUGACGACGAUAAUGUCUCAGCUCUACAGCAAGUGACAAGAGGUGGCGGUGGACUAACCCUGGCAUCGCAGUGGAAGUCGCAGUUCGAUGACUCGGAGGAGACCGACAACGAAUGGAAAGGGGAGAACCUGCAGAGUCCGGAGCACAGAACCACGAAUCCAUCGGCGAUAAUUCCGCAGUCCACAGUUGGUAGCGAGGUCGUAGCAACGCCGGCGUCGACGGGUGAGCCCAACGAGGAGAAGACGGCGGCGCAGCAGCAACCGGCUACGACGACGCCGACCGCUCAGACCGCGCUCUCGCGGAUAAGUGAGGACUCACCGAGACCGACCUCGCAGACGCCGCACAGAUGCCUGAACAUCGCCGGCAUCGAGAAGUACCCGGAGCUCCAGGGUGUCUUGCCUCGGGCUUGGAGCGUACCGGCGCUGGCGCCGCACGUUCGUGGCCAUCUUGAGGCACCUUUGGUCCAACAGGCAGCUUUCGACGAUUCAUUGUACAAAGUCGACGUGAUGAGGAAUAUUGCCACACGAGACGACGAGCCGAAAGAGAGUCCUCCGGCGAGGCGGGCGAGUGUCCCCGCGGUUGCGUUCGCCUCGAUUAGCACGGCUCCCGAAACUCCGGUCGGCGACGAAGAGGAACAAGCAGUCGCGGGAAGACUGGAAAUCAGAGUAGUGGAUGCCACUGGCGGUGCCACGGUCGUACAAACCAGCGCCGACAAGGAGCCGUUGCAGAGGAAGUUGACGAAUGGCACUAUAGGUAGUCCGGCGAGUCCAAAUCCUGGACCGGAGGAGUCUUCGGUGUAUUACGAUGCCACGGAGAAUCGCGCCCCCUCGAACGGAAUGCCGAACGGAACUCUGGGGAACGCGUCGACUGCGACUACCGUUCCAAGUGCCAUGCCCUUGCGCGAACACAAGGACAAUAAUAAGGAAAAGGAGGCUCCUGCCAGGCCGCAUGUCACUUACAGUAAAAUACCGGUGCCGGUCAAAAGUCCCAAGUGUUCACUAUCCGAGUCCACGCCGGAUACGAACACGUUAAAUACCAAAACCGGGACCGGAAGUGAGCCUGAUAAGUCUCCAGCACCGACAAUGCAAUCCAAAGAUAGAGAUACAGAUAAGAUGUAGAAAAAGUGAAAAAUGGCAGGGACGUGUAUAAAGAGUGAAAUCGCAGUUUUGAGAGAGAGAAAAGGAGUCGCUCCUAAAGGACACUUGUUCCAGAGUGGGACGUAUCCCGAGGAGUGUGAGAUUUGUGACCGAGGCGAGUUAUUCCUGACUCCUGCUAUUGUGUUACGUGAUUUUCAAGCUACUCGAGGUCACCCGGGAGUGAUGAAUAACGUGAAAUUAUUCGUUGCUCGGGACGAAUACGUCGUGUUUAAUUAUGCCGGGCAACGGGAGAGUUUCUACGGCCAUGUGCGGAGUCACUGCCAUAAAGCUCGGACAGAUAUCCAAAGUAAUUUAGUCGCCAUAAAGAUUGUACUACUAAGUCGAAGUUAUAUACAUAUAUAUAAAAAAAAAAGUCUGAUUAAAAAGAUGGAGCGCUCCACAUUCCUCACUUAAGAACUACCAAAGGCAAAUCCUUGACAGUGCUGCCGGAGGCGCCGACGCUGCGACGCUGCUUGACGCUGCCGGACGCUCGACCUCCUGUACCUCCGCUGACGUCCACCAGCU
This 3986-nucleotide unclassified non-coding RNA is filed under the name Orussus abietinus. RNAcentral's name for it is "tau-tubulin kinase homolog Asator, transcript variant X4". Lineage: Eukaryota; Metazoa; Arthropoda; Insecta; Hymenoptera; Orussidae. The record is from RNAcentral.